RNAcentral lists this long non-coding RNA (418 nucleotides) under Manihot esculenta (cassava). RNAcentral's name for it is "long non-coding RNA (MESC_LNC002597)". Lineage: Eukaryota; Viridiplantae; Streptophyta; Magnoliopsida; Malpighiales; Euphorbiaceae. The record is from RNAcentral.
AAUAGCAAACCUGAAGAGAGUUCCAGUCAAAGGAGAUGUCGCUGAUGCCGAUUGGGGAGAGGCAAGGGCAGUCAGAAGAGAGAAGGAGAUGUCGCCGAUGCCGCCGAUGUUGACAGAGGAGAGGGAAGAGUUGUCUCCGACUAGGAAGUGGGAGAUGUCGCCACUGGAGAGAAAAUAUUUAUCGUCGACUGAGGAGAGAAAGAAGACGUCGCCGGUGCCGACUGGGCUGCCGGCACUAGUCAGUGAAGUGGGGGAGAGAGGCGCCGACAGUGGGACUGUGGGUCGUCAGUGAAGUGGGGAGAGAGGGAAGGGAAGCGGGGGGGAGAGAGGCGCCGACAGAGCAGUAUGGUAAAAUGAAAAAUGGAAUGAGGGAUUAGGUUUAGGGUUAGGUUUGUUAGUAUAGAUAAUCGGGUUCGGG